This 325-nucleotide ribosomal RNA is filed under the name uncultured Acidobacteriota bacterium. RNAcentral's name for it is "bacterial SSU rRNA". It matches the Rfam family "Bacterial small subunit ribosomal RNA", at positions 15 to 354 of the family's 1533-position model. RNAcentral also lists the same sequence under 1 other name. The record is from RNAcentral. Lineage: Bacteria; Pseudomonadati; Acidobacteriota.
GAUCCUGGCUCAGAAUCAACGCUGGCGGCGUGCCUAACACAUGCAAGUCGCACGAGAAAGGGUAGCAAUACCUGAGUACAGUGGCGCACGGGUGAGUAACACGUGAAUCAUCUACCUUCGAGUGGGGAAUAACUGGGAGAAAUCUCAGCUAAUACCGCAUAAUACCUACGGGUCAAAGCAGCAAUGCGCUUGAAGAGGAGUUCGCGGCAGAUUAGUUAGUUGGCGGGGUAAUGGCCCACCAAGACGAUGAUCUGUAUCCGGCCUGAGAGGGCGCACGGACACACUGGAACUGAAACACGGUCCAGACUCCUACGGGAGGCAGCAG